RNAcentral lists this ribosomal RNA (274 nucleotides) under uncultured bacterium. RNAcentral describes it as "partial 16S ribosomal RNA". It matches the Rfam family "Bacterial small subunit ribosomal RNA", at positions 523 to 796 of the family's 1533-position model. The record is from RNAcentral.
AUACGGAGGGUGCGAGCGUUAAUCGGAAUUACUGGGCGUAAAGCGUACGUAGGCGGUUGGUUAAGUUAGAUGUGAAAGCCCCGGGCUUAGCCUGGGAACUGCAUUUAAAACUGGCGAACUAGAGUUGAGUAGAGGGGAGUGGAAUUUCAGGUGUAGCGGUGAAAUGCGUAGAGAUCUGAAGGAACACCAGUGGCGAAGGCGACUCCCUGGACUCGAACUGACGCUGAGGUACGAAAGCGUGGGUAGCAAACGGGAUUAGAAACCCUUGUAGUCC